AUGGGUGAGCAAAGGGAUUCGCUCUCAUUAGCGGAGGGGCCACCACUGCCCAACCCGGAUAUGCAGACAGCUCCAGCCUCUCGAAUCGAGGCAAGCCAGAUAGAUGUUCCAUCUGCCAUCAUUGCGGAGAAGGAGGUGGGAGAGCCAGUGGGGGUUGACCCUAUGGCGCUAAUCCUGGAGAUUCCAUUGAUGGAAUCAAGGGCGCAUGAUCCCAAUAACGUGAUCCUGGCUGUGUCCCCCAUGCAUGCAGUGAACGUGGAGGUGGGCCCACUGGACGAGUCCCAUGCAAACCCCCGCGCUCUGGAUGAGUCUCAUGCUGAUCCCCGUGCUCAUAAAAUAAUGGGCGCUGCUGCCACUUAUGUGCCUCCUGAUUUGGGCGCUGCUGAUACUACGGCAACAGUGGAGUGUGGAACUCAAGCCCUCACCCUAAGCCUGACGGGGUUUCCGGAUGACAUGAAGGACGUGGAGACCCGCAAGCAAGUGGAGUUGGCCGCGCUGACUGAAGGGAUGACUAGCCAAGAGGCAGUAGCCUUUGCAAAGCUGAAAUCCUUCUGCGCUAAUAUUGUCAAAAGGCUUGCCCCACCAUUGCUCAAAGAGGUCCAGGCAUAG
This 609-nucleotide ribosomal RNA is filed under the name Triticum aestivum (bread wheat). Its description in RNAcentral is "partial small subunit ribosomal RNA". Lineage: Eukaryota; Viridiplantae; Streptophyta; Magnoliopsida; Poales; Poaceae. The record is from RNAcentral.